AUUAUGUGAUAAAUUCGAAGAACAAGUUGUAUUUGAGAAGAUUAUUUUCUUCAACAAUAUAAAUGUUCAAUAUUCAAAAUACGGUCAAGAUGUCGGAAAGUGCGGAUGUCGUGGCAGUCGAGCUGAAUAAAUUACGGAAAAAUGAACUCGUAGAUUUUAUAUAGUGCUACAUUACCUGAAUAUGUGACCAAUGGAAUAUUAAUUAACUUUGUUGAAGAAUUCAGGAAGAAAAUUCAACUAAAUGAAAUUUUAAACAAACAAGGAAAACAACAACAAGAAAAUCCAAGAAGUGCAGAGAAAACAGAUAAUUUAAUUUUGCAACUUAAAUAUAUAAAAGAGACAAGACAUAAAAACAACAUCUUGAAACAAAAUAAUGGUUUAUUACUGGAAAAAGUACAAUAUAUGGAAGGAAAAAGUCAAAAAUCAGCAAAAACGCAAGUAAACAUUCAGAAAAAAGUAUCACCAAUUCUAAUUCACAAUGACAGAACUGAAAAAGCCCAAGAAAAUGAUAAAGAAACCUCUUCCUAUGCUAAGGCUACUUCUGCUACUGUUCAGAAGAUGGCAGCACCAGCAAACCUCAAAUCACCCAGACCACCGAUGAUAUGUCAUUCUUGGACGAUAAACAAACAACAAUGGGUUAUGGAAAGGAAAACAUUGCUAAAAUCACAAAGCACCGAAAUACAGGACGAAACCAAGAAGAGGAUUUCGUGGAAGUCAAUCGUGGUAGGAAAAGACGAUUCAAAAACCCUGAAAAGAAUAUUGGAACUGGACAACAAAAUAAAGGAAUUUCUGGACAAGAAAGGAAAGUUUGGCUAUACAUAUACAGAGUAAACAGAAAUACAACUACCAAUAUGAUCGAAGAUUAUAUAUUAACGAAAGAAGGAUUUGAUAAACAAACAAUUAUGGUAAAAGAAAUUCCAUCUGAAGAAAACAGCCUGAAGAGAUUUGUGUUAACAGCUCCAAUAGCUAAAAAAGAUGAGAUGUACAAACCAGAAUUUUGGCCCUCAGGUGUUGGUAUAAAAAGAUUUAGUUUUUCCAAACACAAAGAAUUCACACAGCAAGGUAAGGAUUUUUUUAUAACAAAAGAAACACAACUGUCAGAACUUCACACCCCAACCAAAAAUACAAAGACUAACGAUAAAAAAGUUGAUAAGAAACAAAACUUAACAUUGACACAUCUAAAUAUCCAAUCGUUAUCAACAUCCCUAAAUGGACUGGAAAUUUUUGUCAAUGAAAAUAAAAUAGAUUUCCUUGCAUUAACUGAAAACUGGCAGUCAUAUGAACAACUAAUGGCUUAUAAAUUAAAUGGCUUCAAUCUCAUAACAAGUUUCUGCAGAGAAAUAAAUAGGCAUGGAGGAUGUGCAAUAUAUGUCAGAGAACAACUACAUAACAAAUGCAAAAAAAGAAAAGAAAUGGACAAAUUCAAUGUCCCUCGUGUGAUCGAAUGCACAGCUCUAGAAUAUGAAGGAAACAAUCAUAUAAAAUUAAUUAUCAUAUGCAUUUAUCGACCAAACACACAUCCCUUUGAAAAUGUAGAUAUUUUCUUUGAGAAAAUGAACUUAAUACUAAAGACACUUACUAUCAGAACAAAAAACAUCAAAUUCAUGAUCACUGGUGAUUUUAAUAUAGACAUGUUAAAUCAACAAGAUAAGAACACUCAAACUAUGACGUCAAUACUAGAGAUGUACAAUCUAAAACCCUUAGUAAUCAAACCCACAAGAAUAACACCUACUUCUAAAACUUGCAUAGACAAUAUUUUUUCGAAUAUCGAAGAUGAAACUGUAACAAUACUACAACCUCAUCUUUCAGAUCAUCUUGCCAUAACCUGCAGAUUCAACAUGAUAGAAGAUGUAACAACUAAAUACAAAAUUAUAACAAAACAUAAUGUGAACGAACAAUCACUUGAAAAAUUUGGCAUAGAACUAAGUACUGUUGACUGGUCGGAAUUAUAUCAAAUUACUGAUAAUGAGGUGGAUGGUAAGUGGAGGUUUUUUUCCACAAUUUACAACAACCUUUUUGAAAAGCAUUUUCCACACAUCAAUAUAAAAAUAAGCUCAUCACAAAAAAUCCCAUAUAAAAAUGAUAAGAAAAUCCAAGCAAUAAAAAUGAAUUUAGAUAUAUUAUAACAGCAUCUAGAACAAAACCAGAACUAAUGAACACUUAUAAAAAAGUUAAGAAGGAAUAUGACAACAAAAUAAAGGAAUACAAGCAAAAAUACCUUUCAGACAAAAUUAAUUUCUAAGACAACAAAACAACAACUACAUGGCAAAUAAUAAUAAUAAUAAAGUUUAUUCAUGAUUCAAUACAGUAACAUUAAUAAACAUGAUUACCACAGAGGUAAUAUCUUAUUGCUAAAAAAAUUACCUGUGCGUGGUGCCUACAUUCAUUCGAACUCAAAACUUAUUCUAAUUUACAUGAGCAAUUAUUAUUUACAUAAAUUAAAUAUUUGUUUUUCUUUUGUAGUCUGUGUAACCAUUUUCUAUCUGUGGUUUCAAGUUCUUUCUUUGAUAGGUUUCAGAUCCUUAAAUAGUGAAAAUAGUGUCGUCAUCGUGUUUUAGUCCCAAUCGGGAUCUCUACAUCAUUCACAGUUAUAUUCUCCAGUGAGGGAAGUCCAGAGCUAUAUGAGGAGAAUGGCAUAUAUUUUGUUUUGUCCAGGUUUAAGGCAUCCCAGGACUCAGCAUGGUAUUGGACAACAGUAUCGUCUGCAAAGCUAAUGAUGUUUCCUUCAUUUUUUUGAUGGAAGAGGCUAUUCAUAUAUAAUAUAAAUAAAACAGGCCCAAGAACUGUGCCCUGGGGUACUCCGUAAGAAACUAUGUCUUCAUGACUCCUAAUUCCAUUUAUUUCUGUUACAUGCUUACGAUCUUUCAGAUAACUCCCUAGAAGUUGAUGUAUCCUUCCCCUGAAUCCAUAAUUUUCUAGCUUUCUCAGCAAUCUUUCAUGACAAACCGUAUCAAAUGCCUUUGAUAGGUCGAGAAAUACACAUAAAAAUGGCACCGCUUCAUCCAAGAAUUUAUAGAUGUUCUUCGUCAAUUCUCCUAUAGCAUCCUCAGUUGAUCUACCCUGUCUGAACCCAAACUGUCGCUCCGAUAUAAUCUUAUAUCUUUCCAGGAAUCUCACAAUUCUGACCUUGAGAAUCUUUUCUAUGAUUUUGGCUAGGUUCGAUAUGAGCGAGAUUGGUCGAUAAUUGCUGACUUGGAACUUAUCUCCUCUUUUGUAUAGUGGUUUAACGACUGCUAAUUUUAGUAUGUUUGGAAAACAUCCAGUUUCGAAACAAUGGUUGACUAAAUAUGCCAAGGGAUGGGAGAUCUCUUUUUUUAUAUUUUUUAGUGUCUCUGCCUUGAGCCCAUCAUGCCCCGGUGCUUUCCGUGGUUUCAAUUCAUCAAUUGCUUUCUCUAUCUCACUGGGUGUUGUUUGUUCUGAAUAAAAUGUUUUUGUUUGAUGAACAUCUUCCUCAACAUAAUCAACCGGUGCAUUUAAUUGAGUUGCGUAUAUUUCUCCGAUAGUAUUGAAGUAUUUAUUGAAUAUAUUGGCAAUUUUUUCUUCAUUUUCAAUGAUAUUUCCAUCUAGAUUUUUUAUAUUAAUUCUUUCUUUUUUUCCAGUUUAGAAGCAUUACAUAUUUCCUUCAGAAAGUCCCACAUGCCCUUGGACUCCGACUGAUUCUUUUUUUUAAAUUUUUCCAAGUA
Harmonia axyridis is the source of this 3683-nucleotide RNA transcript. RefSeq lists it as uncharacterized. The transcript is spliced from 3 exons. NCBI's taxonomy places the organism in Eukaryota, Metazoa, Arthropoda, Insecta, Coleoptera, Coccinellidae. The record is from RefSeq and is a predicted model, not a curated record.